CUGAGCUCCAUAGAGAGAGCGCUGGGCCAGGCAGAGCCAGACGGCACUGGGCGACUCUGUGCCUCGCAGAGGCAAAAUAACUAAACAUGGGCAAAGGAGAUCCCAAGAAGCCGAGAGGCAAAAUGUCAUCGUAUGCAUUUUUUCUGCAAACUUGCCGGGAAGAGCACAAGAAGAAACAUCCAGAUGCCUCAGUCAACUUCUCAGAAUUUUCUAAGAAGUGCUCUGAGACGUGGAAGACCAUGUCUGCUAAAGAGAAAGGGAAAUCUGAAGACAUGGCAAAGGCGGACAAGGCCUGUUAUGAAAGAGAAAUGAAAACCUAUAUUCCUCCUAAAGGGGAAACAAAAAGAAGUUCAAGGACCCCAAUGCACCAAAGAGGCCCCCUUCGGCCUUUUUCUUGUUUUGUUCUGAGCAUCGCCCGAAAAUCAAAGGCGAGCACCCUGGCCUGUCCAUCGGGGAUGUCGCAAAGAAACUGGGAGUGAUGUGGAACAAUACUGCCGCCGAGGACAAGCAGCCGAACGAGAAGAAGGUGGUGAAGCUGAAGGAGAAAUACGAAAAGGAUAUUGCUGCCUACCGGGCCAAGGGCAAACCCGAUGCCGCCAAAAAGGGAGUUGUUAAGGCCGAGAAAAGCAAAAAGAAGAAGGAAGAGGAGAAAGAUGAAGAAGAUGGGGAAGAUGAAGAGGAGGAGGAGGACGAGGAAGAUGAAGAUGAUGAUGAAUAAAUUGGUUCUAGCGCAGUUUUUCUUUUCUUGUCUAUAAAGCAUUUAACCCCCCUGUACACAACUCACUCCUUUUAAAGAAAAAAAAGUGAAAUGUAAGGCUGUGUAAGAUUUGUUUUUAAACUGUACAGGGUCUUUUUUUGUAUAGUUAACACACUACCUAAUGUGUCUUUAGAUAGCCCUGCCCUGGUGGUAUCUUCAGUAAGCCCAACUUGCCUGGUACAGUCUGGGGGUUGUAAAUUGGCAUGGAAAUUGAAACCAGGUCCUUGUGGUGUGUAGCACAAUUUAGUUAUAUAUGGGGAUGGUAGUUUUUGGUUUUGUUUUAUUUUUUUUUCCAUCUUCAGUUAUCUCUGAUGCAGCUUAUACAAAAUAAUUGUUGUUCUGUUAACUGAAUACCACUCUGUAAUUGCAAACAGGAAAAAAAAAGUUACAACUGUUUUGUUGACAUUCUGAAUGCUUCUAAGUAAAUACAAUUUUUU
Non-coding RNA from Orycteropus afer afer, 1194 nucleotides. Lineage: Eukaryota; Metazoa; Chordata; Mammalia; Tubulidentata; Orycteropodidae. The record is from RefSeq and is a predicted model, not a curated record.